This 1063-nucleotide ribosomal RNA is filed under the name uncultured Bacteroidales bacterium. RNAcentral's name for it is "bacterial SSU rRNA". It matches the Rfam family "Bacterial small subunit ribosomal RNA", at positions 32 to 1087 of the family's 1533-position model. The record is from RNAcentral. Lineage: Bacteria; Pseudomonadati; Bacteroidota; Bacteroidia; Bacteroidales.
AACGCUAGCUACAGGCUUAACACAUGCAAGUCGAGGGGCAGCAGGAACUUAGCUUGCUAAGUUUGCUGGCGACCGGCGCACGGGUGAGUAACGCGUAUCCAACCUGCCCAUUACUCAGGGAUAGCCUUGCGAAAGUAAGAUUAAUACCUGAUGUUGUUUGAUUGCCGCAUGACGGUCAAACCAAAGAUUUAUUGGUAAUGGAUGGGGAUGCGUGACAUUAGGUAGUUGGUGAGGUAACGGCUCACCAAGCCCACGAUGUCUAGGGGUUCUGAGAGGAAGGUCCCCCACACUGGAACUGAGACACGGUCCAGACUCCUACGGGAGGCAGCAGUGAGGAAUAUUGGUCAAUGGACGAGAGUCUGAACCAGCCAAGUAGCGUGCAGGAAGACGGCCCUCUGGGUUGUAAACUGCUUUUAGUUGGGAAUAAAAAGAGGGACGUGUCCCUAAUUGUAUGUACCAUCAGAAAAAGGACCGGCUAAUUCCGUGCCAGCAGCCGCGGUAAUACGGAAGGUCCAGGCGUUAUCCGGAUUUAUUGGGUUUAAAGGGAGCGUAGGCGGGAUGUGUAAGUCAGCUGUGAAAGUUUGCGGCUCAACCGUAAAAUUGCAGUUGAAACUGCCAUUCUUGAGUGUGCGCAGGGAUGUUGGAAUUCGUGGUGUAGCGGUGAAAUGCUUAGAUAUCACGAAGAACUCCGAUCGCGAAGGCAGAUGUCCGGAGCACAACUGACGCUGAGGCUCGAAAGUGUGGGUAUCAAACAGGAUUAGAUACCCUGGUAGUCCACACAGUAAACGAUGAAUACUCGCGGUUGGCGAUACAUUGUCAGCCGCCACGCGAAAGCAUUAAGUAUUCCACCUGGGGAGUACGCCGGCAACGGUGAAACUCAAAGGAAUUGACGGGGGCCCGCACAAGCGGAGGAACAUGUGGUUUAAUUCGAUGAUACGCGAGGAACCUUACCCGGGCUUGAAUUGCAGCUGCAUUGACUAGAGAUAGUCAUUUCCUUCGGGACUGCUGUGAAGGUGCUGCAUGGUUGUCGUCAGCUCGUGCCGUGAGGUGUCGGCUUAAGUGC